RNAcentral lists this long non-coding RNA (279 nucleotides) under Vigna radiata. RNAcentral describes it as "long non-coding RNA (VRAD_LNC004424)". The record is from RNAcentral. Lineage: Eukaryota; Viridiplantae; Streptophyta; Magnoliopsida; Fabales; Fabaceae.
UUGUUAAUACGUGUACGCCUGUUUUUCAGUUGGUACGUUUUAACAAUGUGUACUGGAUUAUAAUAGACAAAAAUAUCCUCAUUUAUCAUGGAUUCUAAGUUUUAAGGUAAAGGAUAUUUAAAUAAUUUUCAUUCUCAAAAUUAAAAAAAAAAAAAAAACGAAACCCUCGAACCCUUACUCACCUUCCUCAUUCCUCUCAACCAUUUUCUCUAUCACCCCUAUUGUUGCCCCAAUUAAAAAAAAAUCAGAAACUCUUGCCAAAAGUUUAUUCUAAACGCC